GGGUGUAUAGUUCAGGGAAUAGCAUUUGCCUAGCAUGCUGAAGGCUCUGGGUUCAAUCCCUAGUACAUCAA
This 71-nucleotide transfer RNA is filed under the name Marmota monax (woodchuck). It matches the Rfam family "tRNA". From Rfam's summary of the family: Transfer RNA (tRNA) molecules are approximately 80 nucleotides in length. RNAcentral also lists the same sequence under 2 other names. Lineage: Eukaryota; Metazoa; Chordata; Mammalia; Rodentia; Sciuridae. The record is from Rfam by way of RNAcentral.